RNAcentral lists this ribosomal RNA (467 nucleotides) under uncultured bacterium. Its description in RNAcentral is "partial 16S ribosomal RNA". It matches the Rfam family "Bacterial small subunit ribosomal RNA", at positions 28 to 507 of the family's 1533-position model. The record is from RNAcentral.
GACGAACGCUGGCGGCGUGCUUAACACAUGCAAGUCGAACGGAAAGGCCCUGCUUUUGUGGGGUGCUCGAGUGGCGAACGGGUGAGUAACACGUGAGUAACCUGCCCUUGACUUUGGGAUAACUUCAGGAAACUGGGGCUAAUACCGGAUAGGAGCUCCUGCUGCAUGGUGGGGGUUGGAAAGUUUCGGCGGUUGGGGAUGGACUCGCGGCUUAUCAGCUUGUUGGUGGGGUAGUGGCUUACCAAGGCUUUGACGGGUAGCCGGCCUGAGAGGGUGACCGGCAACAUUGGAAUUGGAUUCCGGCCCGGCCCCUUCCGGGGGGAAGCAGUGGGAAAAAUUCCCCAAUGGCCGAAAGCCUGAUGCGCAACGGCGGCGGGCGGGAGACGGCCCUCGGGUUUGUAACCGGCUUCCCCCGUGACCGAGCGUGAGGUGCCGGAAUUGGUAAAGAAGCACCGGCUAACUACGUG